Molecule: ribosomal RNA, 497 nt
Filed under: uncultured bacterium
Lineage: Bacteria
Description: partial 16S ribosomal RNA
Rfam family: Bacterial small subunit ribosomal RNA
Source: RNAcentral
GAUGAACGCUGGCGGCGUGCCUAAUACAUGCAAGUCGAGCGAACAGACGAGGAGCUUGCUCCUCUGACGUUAGCGGCGGACGGGUGAGUAAAACGUGGAUAACCUACCUAUAAGACUGGGAUAACUUCGGGAAACCGGAGCUAAUACCGGAUAAUAUAUUGAACCGCAUGGUUCAAUAGUGAAAGACGGUUUUGCUGUCACUUAUAGAUGGAUCCGCGCCGCAUUAGCUAGUUGGUAAGGUAACGGCUUACCAAGGCAACGAUGGGUAGCCGACCUGAGAGGGUGAUCGGCCACACUGGAACUGAGACACGGUCCAGACUCCUACGGGAGGCAGCAGUAGGGAAUCUUCCGCAAUGGGCGAAAGCUUGACGGAGCAACGCCGCGUGAGUGAUGAAGGUCUUCGGAUCGUAAAACUCUGUUAUUAGGGAAGAACAAAUGUGUAAGUAACUAUGCACGUCUUGACGGUACCUAAUCAGAAAGCCACGGCUAACUACGUG